ACAAUGUCAUCCAGGAUAAUUUUAUAUAAGGCUUUGAUUUUGAUGAUCUAAAGGCAUUUCAAUUACAAAUACCAAUCAUCAGGAAUUCCACCGGACCUGCAUAUUUGUUGGAGAACAGCUAGAGGAUGGUAGAUUACACCAUCCAGAAAGAGUCUACUCUUUUCAUUUCGUGUUGACGCUUAAUUGAACUAUCUUUGAUGGCGUUAGCGAGGAAAUACAACCAGGAUAAAACCAUCUGCCGCAACUUCUUCAACUGUUAAUUAAAGGAUUUAAGAUUUAAGAUGAAGAGAAGAGAAGAGAAGAGAAACAACACCAUGGUUUUAGUUACA
Cynara cardunculus var. scolymus (artichoke) is the source of this 329-nucleotide long non-coding RNA. RefSeq lists it as uncharacterized. The transcript has 3 exons. NCBI's taxonomy places the organism in Eukaryota, Viridiplantae, Streptophyta, Magnoliopsida, Asterales, Asteraceae. The record is from RefSeq and is a predicted model, not a curated record.